This is a long non-coding RNA of Anthonomus grandis grandis, 342 nucleotides long. RefSeq lists it as uncharacterized. The record is from RefSeq and is a predicted model, not a curated record. The transcript has 2 exons. NCBI's taxonomy places the organism in Eukaryota, Metazoa, Arthropoda, Insecta, Coleoptera, Curculionidae.
AUCACGGUCUGAACAUAUCUAAUCUUAUGUAAUAGAACUCCUUGACUGAAGAUAUUGCCCGAGAACGUUGUAAGGGCGCGCCAUCGCGACGCUUCAAAAGAGAAAAACGCUUUACCGUGAUGCUAGUGAUGGAUUUUUCAUCUGGUCAAACCGGCAACAUCCACAAUACUCCUGCAAAUUGUAUCUCGAAAUGAAGAGUGUUCUUGGAGAAGAUCUUCAGUAGGAUAAUUUUACUGAAAUCAACUGAACUGUGAAGAGGAUAUCUUGGAUGUGUUGUAAUCUUGAGCUCUAUAUAAAGGUUUGAUAUUUGUAAGAAAAAGAAAAUUAAAGGUGAAGUACUCA